AGAGUUUGAUCCUGGCUCAGAACUAACGCUGGCGGCGCGUCUUAAACAUGCAAGUCGAACGGUAGUCCCUGAGCUUGCUUAGGGAUGAGAGUGGCGAACGGGUGAGUAACACGUGGAUAAUCUGCCUCCGGGUUGGGGAUAACUGUCCGAAAGGGCAGCUAAUACCGAAUGAGAUGGUGGUUACAUAAGUAGCAGCCAUUAAAGGUGGGGACCGCAAGGCCUACUGCCUGGAGAUGAGUCCGCGGCUGAUUAGCUUGUUGGUGGGGUAACGGCCUACCAAGGCGACGAUCAGUAGCCGGCCUGAGAGGGUGAACGGCCACAUUGGGACUGAGAUACGGCCCAGACUCCUACGGGAGGCAGCAGUUAAGAAUCUUGCACAAUGGGCGCAAGCCUGAUGCAGCGACGCCGCGUGAAUGAUGAAGGCCUUCGGGUUGUAAAGUUCAGUAAGCAGGGAAGAAUAAGCAAGAGGUAAUAUUUCUUGUGAUGACGGUACCUGCCUAAAGCCCCGGCUAACUACGUGCCAGCAGCCGCGGUAAUACGUAUGGGGCGAGCGUUGUUCGGAAUUAUUGGGCGUAAAGGGCGUCUAGGCGGGAAAUUAAGUUAGGUGUGAAAGCUAUGGGCUCAACCCAUAAACUGCAUCUAAAACUGAUUUUCUUGAGUUCGGGAGAGGAGAGCGGAAUUCCAGGUGUAGCGGUGAAAUGCGUAGAUAUCUGGAAGAACACCAGUGGCGAAGGCGGCACUCUGGCCUAGAACUGACGCUGAAGCGCGAAAGCGUGGGGAGCGAACAGGAUUAGAUACCCUGGUAGUCCACGCUGUAAACGUUGUAUACUAGGUGUUAGUGGCUUGUCCACUAGUGCCGCAGCAAACGCAUUAAGUAUACCGCCUGGGGAGUACGCCCGCAAGGGUGAAACUCAAAUGAAUUGACGG
This 927-nucleotide ribosomal RNA is filed under the name uncultured bacterium. RNAcentral describes it as "bacterial SSU rRNA". It matches the Rfam family "Bacterial small subunit ribosomal RNA", at positions 8 to 916 of the family's 1533-position model. The record is from RNAcentral.